CUGUCAAAUAAAUAAAUAAAAUCUUAAAAAAAAAAAAAGAACAGGGUUGUGUGUCUACGUAGGAGGGUAUCGAUGUGUGUGGUGGUGGGGUGGGCUCCGGCACACGAGGGUGUAAUCAGAUAGAGGGGUGACGUUAAAAAGUAAUGUAAGUCUUCUGUAUUGAUACAGACCUUUGUGUUUGUAGAAUUGUGGCUUUUAGGGUUAUAAUUUUGAUAAGACAAAAAAAGAAGCAUCAAACAAAGGUUCUAGUUUUUUAAGGAGGAAGUGGCAAGCCUUUUUAAUAGAACUUUCUCUAGAAAACGUCUUCCUAUUUUAAACUUCGAACGCAAGAUGCAUCAUCCUCCUGCUAUCGUAUGAGUCCAGACCUCUGUAGCAGAGCUGACUCCAGGGAACAAUCCAUUUAUAAAAUUGCUGAAUUCCCUACAAGGCCGGGACUGGCCAGAAGAUUUCAUGCAGCUGGUCACAAAUUCCAGUAUAGUUGUUUUCAGUUGGGUUCCCAGGAAACAGGUUCUGAACAGCAAUCUCGACAUAGAAGUCUUGUUGAGGAGGGCUUCCAGAAGAUACAUUUGCAAGGAAGCGAGGAAAGCAGAUUUGGGCAGAAAGGGAACAAUAUGAGUACAGCUGUGACCAACAUCUCUGGAUCCUCCGGGGAGUGACUGGGGCAGGAAUGAGCCUUUGCAGUUGUCCUGAAGGGGGUCAAAGCACAGGGUCUCUGCUUCUCUACCUCAGCCAAUCGCUAACUGCAGCCCCCUGGAAGAGAGGGAAGCCGAGAGCGAGGGAAUUUCCUGAAACCAAGGGCCUCAUUUGGGAAAAUGAUCUUUGUAAAUGUAAUUACGUUAAGGAUCUCAAGUUGAGAUCUGAGCCCUGAAUCCAAUGACACUUGUCCUUUAAGAGCCACACGGAGGAGAAACCGAGGAAAGAGAAGUAAAGACAGAGACAAAGGUGAUGCAGCCAAGAGCAGAGAAGGACCCGGAGCCACCAGAAGCUGGAAGAGGCAAAGUAGGGUUCCCUCUUACAACCUUUGGAAGGAGCUGGGUCUGCUCACAGACUCCUGGUCUCCAGGCUCUGCAUUGGUAACUUUCUGCUGUUAUAAACCAUCAAGCUCGUGGUAAUUUGCAACAGCAUCUCCAGGAAACUAAUGCACAAUCCCGGGCUGCCUAGUGCGAGGAUGGAGCCCCCAUCCCAGGAGCUAAUUUGGAGGAGUAGCCCUCGUGAUCCUAAGUGAUCAUCUCUCGCAUUAAGAAGUCACAUCCCUAAAGAUGGCUGUCGGCCAUCGGCUGCCGUUAGUGGUAGAAGCCUCAGGCUUCAGCCAGUAGGAGGCGCUAUCACCAGAGGCCGGGGCAGUGACACUAGAGCUCUACUAAUUGGGUUCAAAUCUCUUUUUCCACCACCUACCUGCUGUUCGCUUAAGCAAAUUUUGUAGCUUAUCUGUGCCUCCGAAUUUAUCAUCUGUCAAAAUAGAGAAAAAAAAAACAGUUCUGUCCGAUCUUCGCUAUAAGAAAUAACUGGAAUAAUAUAUAAAGCACUUUAAAAUGCCUAUUUCUUGUAAGCUCACAACACGUAUUAACUGCCACAAUUAUUUUAAGAUUUUCCUCUUAACCAAUGGGACUCUAAGGUAAUUCUCAUUAUCCUCUCCUAACAAACCUUUUAAUUAACAGGUUGUCAAGCAAUUACUUUCAAUUGUCUAUAAUAUGGGUACUUGCACAAGGAAUUUGAUAUGGAUACAGAAUGUCUAUACACGAAUCCAAUGUGGGCUUAAUUAUAUUAGAGAAGGUGAUGCUUCAUGGGGAAACAUUAGGAGUAAAAAUAUUUUGCUUUGUUUUUUCAGUAGCGAAGUAUGAUGGGAUUAAAUGCUAAUUAACGCAACUUUUGCCAGUGGGUCAGAAAAUCCCUACGGUUGGAGGUCCGUCAGAUUUUUUGGCCAUAUGACUUCUAGACUUUAGAUAUUUGGAAAUCUAUGAUAUUUUGUGAAUAUGAAUAUGUAGCUCAGAGCCUGAAGGUUACUCUUGAGGGAAUAUGUCAGGUUUCCAUACCAUUUGGAGGCUUGCUGUCUACCCUAUGUGAGAAAGUAGUGGCUACCGGUGAUCAUUCUUGGACAUUAUUAUUAAAAGCUGACCUUGAAAAAAAGUGACCUUGAAACCUCUUAAUAUUUGCAAAGCUUUAAGGAAAAAAAAAUCUCUAUUAUGGAUUAAGUCACAGACAUCGUGGCAGAAAGAUGUCCCCAAACCACAGGUUGUUUGCCUGGUCACAAGUAGAAAAAGGAGCCGUUAGGUAGAAAAACUGGUGUUUAUCCAGGUUGGGGAAAAGUGCCUAGACCCAGGAAUAUUUUCUCGAGCCAAAGUUCUGAAUAUCAUACUCGUAAGUGUUCUAGCCAUGGGAAUACAGGUUUGUCUGGCUGAGGACUCCCCAGGGCCCACCCAACCCACCUGAGAGAGAGAACCUAAAUUUUCUGGAUCUUUAUUUCGUUCAUCCUCCCACCCCUGUGCUCACGCAUUUUCCUGGUUUCCGGAAACUCACAGCAAAGCAAUACCACUGUACCCUGUCCUUUUUUCCCCCCUUGCCCCUUGCCUCUCUGCUACAGGUCUUUCAACCGACCCUGCUUGUCACCAGCAAUUUAGAAAUGAUUAGUCUUUCCAUCUUCCCUGUCCUGCCCUGCUUUGUUCCAAGGCUAAUUUCCAUCCUACCCUCUUCAUCAGAGCCCAUUGUUCCAGAUGUGAUGUCUCUCACAUCACUCACGCUGAAUUCUCCCAGCUGCCCAGGCCCAAGUCUGGCUACAGAGGCCUCCCAUCCCUCCCUCCAGCUGUCAAAUGCCCUAAACCAGCUCUGGACCUCUCUCUGCACGGAUCCAAGGUCCACCCCUCACUCUCUCUUCCUGGAACGUUUUCCCCCAGCCUUUCCCCAGGCCUGCUGUUGCUGCUGUGAACAGACUGUUCCUGUUUCCUAGGAUACACAGAGCUUUCCCCAAACCCUUCUUUGUCUUUUGAUUCCUCUGCCAGAUUACGCACACUGAUGGGCAAGAUUUCUGGGCACAGGCGAGCCUUCUGAACUUCAUUGUAAUUUGGCUGAAUGGAUUUGUUGGUCUCCUUAGCAGGUUGUUUCCCCCUACAAGAGGUCCUCAACCUAGAAUGCCCUUUUGUCACAUUGAGAAGCUUUUUAAAAUGCAUUCUCCCAGACGUGUGUGAUGUGGACAUUGCUAUGGUUUAACAGUUCCCAAGGGAGGUCUAGCGUGCAGGCCUAGGCUUGAAAAUCAGUACAGAAACUUCAACCCACACAUGCUCAUCUCACCUGGCUCUUCUCUAAGGAGGUUAGAGUUCACCUUGAACUUCUGGUGGUGUAGCAGCCCACCUGUAGGAUGCUUCACAGCCCCGUCCUCAGCCUCAGUUCACCCCAAAACAACAGGAACAGAAUGUGCCUUCAGAGCUUUCCAAGAAAGUUGCAGGGAAAGUUGGCAAUGCAUCUGGUAAACCUCCAAAGAAGACUUAAUAAAAGAAAUUAGAAGGGCCCAGGCUGAAAAGGAAUUCAGGGUGAUCACACAACAGGUACAUUUUUCGAUAAACUGUGAACUGCUCUGGAAACUCUGGCAAAAUAACAGUGCUGGGCAGUUAACCGUGUGCGUCUCACCUGAGUUUCUGCCCCCUCUUCCCUUCUAGGUUUGAUUGCUGGAGGCUGGAGCUGGAUUUCGAAGUCUUCUAGUCUGAGGGACCAUUUUACAGAUGAGAAAACUGAGGCCAAGAGAGAUGAUCAUAAUCUAGCAUAAGAUUCACAGCUACAUAGGGAAAGAGGGAGGCAGGAAACAGUCAUCCUUCUCAGAGUCCAACGUUCUUCCAGCCACACCCACUUCUCAACAUUUAGUAGUCUCCUUUGGAAAUGUGGCUGAUAAUUGGCAAUGUAAAAAUUGGUGGUUUGGUGAAUGCCCAAGAGAAAUUGAAUUUUGUAAACAAGCAAUUGCUAGAGGUAAUUGGUGAUUCAUUAUUAAACUCAAAAACUGUGGGAAAUACACGGGAAAAAUGACUCUCUCUCCAAACCUCUCUGUAGCAGGAUGAUGCAUUAUCUCACAGAGGUAUGAACUGGAAAAGACGGUGCAGACUUAGUGCUUAGUUCUGGACCUGUCACAGGGGAAGAGGACAAUAAAUGGUUGUACGAACAGGAGAGGUUUUGCAGAAUCAGCCCGUUGCAAAGCAGAAAUGCAAUGAAGAUCUCACUGUUUUCUUUCUGAACAGAGAGAAGGAAGUGUUGCAAACUGUAGCUGUUGCAUUGAUUAGGGACUCAGUGUUUCCUUUUCAGUUUAAAUGCACAUUCAGGUGCUUUACUCCCACCUCCACAACCAAUAAAAACAAAGCUGAUCUCUUACUUUUAAUUCCAUCCAGUUCAUUCCUUAGGAAACAGGGCCAAGCGAGCUGGAAUAGUUAGCCACAUUUUACCUGUGAACUUGGAAAGAUGAAAUAAUCAGACUGCCUUCUACUCUGAGCUGUGUGUCCUCGUCUUCUGUCCAUCACGUCACUGGCUGAUGUGGAAGGGGUUGGGCUCGUCGUUAGAACUGGGAUAAAGGAUCCUAGCUGAGCCAUUCCUGAGGCUCUGAUUAAUGCACGCCUCAACAAACGUGCCACCAUCCAAAGGCUACCUGAAAGGAUGAUGAAACUGCAAGCACCACGAAUGACCUCUUUGGAGCUGGCAGAGAAUGGAGUCACUCUACUCUGCAUGGAAGUCCACAUUUUCACACCAUACUGUACUCUAAUAUAGAUGACAUGGUCAGCAAGUUUGUUUGGGGAACUUACUUUUAGGAUAAUUUCUUGCAGUAUGAGGUCAUAUUAGAAAUUUCGCGAACUGGAAACAGUAGAAGCUAUCACCUCACCAGAAGAGAUCACUCUGUUCGAAAGAUGCGGAAACAGGUGUGAUAAGGGAAGCUUGGGAGGAAUUGAAGCCUGCCCUACAACUGUGUCCGGGUGUAUUUCUCAUGCAUGUUGCGAUGCCAGUUAUGUACGGAGCAAACAAAGGGUUAAAUCCCAAAGCUAUGGAGCCUCAGAAUUGAAUUCAGGCAUUGGCUUUGUCCCUUGUGUGACCCUGGUAAAAUACUGAACCAUCUCUACAUCUCUUCUCUGAAGUGAGGUUAAUUACAGCCUCCCCCCGCCCCCCAGAUACCAGUGCAAAGAAGUGGUCAAUAUCCAUAUCUUCAUCUUCAUCCGUGUGGUCAUCAUUGUCAUGAAAACCUGGAAAUAAAAUAUAUUGAUGCUGAACCUCAUUUUUGCUACCGGCUUUUGUAAGAUUUAG
Long non-coding RNA from Ailuropoda melanoleuca (giant panda), 5268 nucleotides. RefSeq lists it as uncharacterized. The record is from RefSeq and is a predicted model, not a curated record. The transcript has 4 exons. NCBI's taxonomy places the organism in Eukaryota, Metazoa, Chordata, Mammalia, Carnivora, Ursidae.